CAUCAUCGUGACGAAGGCCGCCCUGGUCGGGUCUCUGCAUUUCCGGAGCCAGAUGGACUGGAACGCCCAUCAAGGCCGCGCCAUCCUCAGAGAUAUGUCGACCCUUACAGUGGCUACUACAACUCCCACAUGAAUCCUAUGUGGAACGACUACUGGUGGUAUUACCAUGGACCUCACUGGGGUCAUGUAAAGCAUCCAUCUUCUGACCCUUGGCCAAAUUUCCAUCGGUCAGCUUCAGACUGACAUGGAUGGAAGAGACGAGCCAAACUCGCAGGGCUCAGCUCUACAGUGCAACAAGGAUCUCCUGUAUUUAUCUAAAAUAAAGUGUGAAAGCUCUCCUGCA
Molecule: non-coding RNA, 343 nt
Organism: Maylandia zebra (zebra mbuna)
Lineage: Eukaryota; Metazoa; Chordata; Actinopteri; Cichliformes; Cichlidae
Source: RefSeq, a predicted model, not a curated record